UACGUAGGGGGCUAGCGUUGUCCGGAUUUAUUGGGCGUAAAGAGCGUGUAGGCGGCCAUUUAGGUCCGGUGUGAAAACUCGCGGCUUAACCUCGAGAUGUCAUCGGAAACCAUUUGGCUAGAGUCCGGAAGAGGAGAGUGGAAUUCCUGGUGUAGCGGUGAAAUGCGCAGAUAUCAGGAAGAACACCAAUGGCGAAAGCAGCUCUCUGGGACGGUACUGACGCUGAGACGCGAAAGCGUGGGGAGCGAACAGG
Molecule: ribosomal RNA, 253 nt
Filed under: uncultured bacterium
Lineage: Bacteria
Description: partial 16S ribosomal RNA
Rfam family: Bacterial small subunit ribosomal RNA
Source: RNAcentral